AGAAUGCCAUCUCUAGGAUGCCAAUGGGCUGUGUCUACAGUACUAUGUAGGAAAGUGCUGCAAGAGAGAGCCCAUUUUGCCUAAACAAGAACCACGAUUAUGUAAAGUUCUUUCUGUCACCUCUCUGAAGACCUGGUUCAUAUCUGCAGCUGCAACUCUAUCCCUGAACUCAUCUUUGAAACUACCCAGAGAUAGACUGUCAAGAGCUUCAGAGCUUUACAACAGGAUCUUCCAAGUGCCCUGAGAGGUCAUGAUGGAGCCAAUAGAAAUAAAUCAUACAAAACAAAGCCAGAACCUGGUGGGAGGGAUGCUUACAAAACAACAUAAACGAGAAGUUGUCUGAAAAAAAAUUGUAUGGAAGGAAGAAGAGAUGAGAUAAGGGAAAUGAACUCAUAAUAGCCCCAGUUAAAAUACUUACAGUAAAAUAUCAUUAGUACUACUUGAUGUUGGUGAAAGGCUCUAGACUCAAGUCAGAAGGCCCAAUUUGUUGCUGUGAUUUCUUGAACAAAUUAUGUAAUUGUGUUGAGAUUCAGUUUUCUUUUCUAUCAUUGGGUAUUAAUAACUUCUAUGUGAUGUCAGAGUUAUGAUGUGAAGUUAAAAUAACUAAUAAAUGGGUAAACCCUG
This is a long non-coding RNA of Homo sapiens (human), 624 nucleotides long. RefSeq annotates it as long independently transcribed non-coding RNA 2552. Lineage: Eukaryota; Metazoa; Chordata; Mammalia; Primates; Hominidae. The record is from RefSeq and is marked validated. The transcript has 4 exons.